GAUGAACGCUGGCGGCGUGCCUAAUACAUGCAAGUCGAGCGAACAGACGAGAGUGCUUGCACUCUCUGACGUUAGCGGCGGACGGGUGAGUAACACGUGGGUAACCUACCUAUAAGACUGGGAUAACUUCGGGAAACCGGAGCUAAUACCGGAUAAUAUUUAGCUUCGCAUGAAGCAAUAGUGAAAGACGGUUCUGCUGUCACUUAUAGAUGGACCCGCGGUGUAUUAGCUAGUUGGUGAGGUAACGGCUCACCAAGGCAACGAUACAUAGCCGACCUGAGAGGGUGAUCGGCCACACUGGGACUGAGACACGGACCAGACUCCUACGGGAGGCAGCAGUAGGGAAUCUUCCGCAAUGGACGAAAGUCUGACGGAGCAAUGCCGCGUGAGUGAAGAAGGUUUUCGGAUCGUAAAACUCUGUUGUAAGGGAAGAACAAGUACGUUAGUAACUGAACGUACCUUGACGGUACCUGACCAGAAAGCCACGGCUAACUACGUG
This 499-nucleotide ribosomal RNA is filed under the name uncultured bacterium. RNAcentral's name for it is "partial 16S ribosomal RNA". It matches the Rfam family "Bacterial small subunit ribosomal RNA", at positions 28 to 507 of the family's 1533-position model. The record is from RNAcentral.